UAACGAAUCUUCCCCAAUGCACGAAAGUGUGAGGGAGCGACGCCGCGUGGAGGAUGAAGUCCUUCGGGAUGUAAACUCCUGUCAGGGGUUAGAAAGUUCUGAUCAACCCCAGAGGAAGUGGCGACUAACUCUGUGCCAGCAGUCGCGGUAAGACAGAGGCCACAAGCGUUAGGCGGAAUCACUGGGCUUAAAGCGUGUGUAGGCGGACCGUUAAGUGCUUUGUGAAAUCCCACGGCUCAACCGUGGAACGGCGUGGCAUACUGGCGGUCUUGAGCCACCUAGGGGCAGCUGGAACAAGCGGUGGAGCGGUGAAAUGCGUAGAUAUCGCUUGGAACGCCCGCGGUGAAGACGGGCUGCUGGGGGUGUGCUGACGCUGAGACACGAAAGCCAGGGGAGCAAACG
Molecule: ribosomal RNA, 402 nt
Filed under: uncultured prokaryote
Description: bacterial SSU rRNA
Rfam family: Bacterial small subunit ribosomal RNA
Source: RNAcentral